UGAUUCACUUUCACAUUUGAUUUUUGUUAAUCCUUAUACCCUUUUUCCUUGCCUCUUCAUUUCAUCUGUUACUAUCAAGUUUCUGCCGAUAAUAUCAGAGGAAAGGGAUAAUUGAACUGAUUACUUUUAGGAAAUAACAUGUACCCUUCUUAUAAUUGCAUGUCUUCUUUAUGACUUAAUCAUGUUAUUUUUUCGACAGAGAUAAUGUUGAGAGUUUUCUCUGUGAGUUUAUCUCUCUGUUAUGCUAAAAUUUAGAAACCUACAACUUCUUUUUGACAAUUUCAUGCAGGGGUUUAUUUGUGGUGAUUCAUCAGAGACCUUCCUUUUUAUACCCGUUGUUAUUCUCUUUCCGCUUCAAUCAUAUAUGGGCUGAGAUGCACAUUUCAUGGGAGGUGUAGGGGAAAAUGAACCAGCCUCAAAACGCAUGAAACUAUCCUCUGAAGAAUUGAGACAUCUUUCAAACGGUUCAACUCUUAAAGAGCCUAUGAAGGGGGUGAAGAAGUUGUUGGCUCAAAAGGAUAUUUUUUACAAUGGAUUAAUAUUUGGUAUGGCAGUGUAAAUUUUUAACUCCUCAAGCGGGGUUAAUACACUGCCAAGUGUUCUCUUUUCACUUUUUAUUUUAUUAAAUGUAAUUCAAGGACACUGUUACAAUAUAUAAGCUGGAAAUUUGAUUC
Molecule: long non-coding RNA, 674 nt
Organism: Hibiscus syriacus
Lineage: Eukaryota; Viridiplantae; Streptophyta; Magnoliopsida; Malvales; Malvaceae
Exons: 2
Source: RefSeq, a predicted model, not a curated record